GCAGCAGAACGGAGCAAGAGCCGCAGGCAGGGCUGACACCGGGGCUGUGCCGCCUGUCCCCGUCCGGGUCUCGGUGCGGAAGGGAGAGCCUUGCCCCGGUGCCUGCAGGCGGAUUGUGCCGGCCGGGCGGGAGCGGGGCUCUCCGAGCCAGGGGCGGAUCGGCGCUCCGUUUGCUCGCCAAGAGAAAGUUUAAAAAAAUCAAAACAACUUAGAGAGAGGAAGGCUGCCGCAUUUUCACAAACCGAGCCCAGAGCUUCCAGGUUCUGCUGCCUGCAGAGGUAUGUCGGUCUCAACAUCACAGCCGCCCUUCUGGAAAAGUCUUACAGGAUUCAGGCAGAGGGAAACCAACACAGAAGUGACUCGGAAAGCAUGAUGGCAAAUGAUUAAUCAAAUCAGAGACAGGAAGGCGGAGUGACCAUUUUCGAUGACAUGAGGCAGCACGGGGUGAAUGCGAGCAGGGGCUGGCCCUCGAGGGACAUGUCACUGACAACUGAUGGGCAUCUGGCGUUUGGCUGGGGCAGGGGAAGGAAAACCGCGGGGCUUCAGUAAAUGGGCUCUGGAAGAGGAGAAGGUGUGGCUUUUAACAAGAUGUUCAGAAAAAAAAUUAUAUCAGGCACAUGUUGACCUGCGCUUCCUCUGCUCCUGGCUUUGGAGGCAAUAUCGCUUGGUGCUUAUCAGCUACAACGUCUGAGGCAUCGGCCCACAUCCAGCCCCCAUCCAGCCCCGCCGAGGAGCUGCUGGCAGCCGCAGCGGAGAGUCAGGAGCGGCCCCGGUAACGGCUCGCAGAGCCCAAACAACGAAAUGCCGAGAAAUGUUCACCACCGCUGGCUGCCGGGCUACUGAAACUCCCCCCCGGGCCGGGAGGGGUUUCGGGGGAUGCAGGAUGCAGCAGCCUGAGGUUUGGGCAGCCUCAGUCGGGCAGCCUUGUGCCUUCUCCCCGAGGUUUUGGAGCCGCGGAGCUGCUGUCUGCCCCUCCUGCCUUCAGAGCAGCCCCAGAGGGGCAGCAGGGACCGGAACGGCCCCGGGAUCCCCGCUCCUACCAGCGGGACAGGGGCUCCGAGGCGCUUCUGUCCAUGUCCCCGUUGGGUCCUGCCAUGCAUCUGAUGUUCCCCGCCGGGCAGCCAGGGCAGAGACAAGGGCAGGGACAGGGACAUGGGAAGGGGCGGCCUCUCUGUCCCAGCCUUACAAGUCGCUUUUCUGCUUCCUAUGAAGGCUCCGAGAUACAGGGACGUUUUCAGAAAAAAAAAAAACAAAACCAAAACCAAAAGUCCCCCAAACCCCACAAACAAAACCAAACACAAACAAACAAAAAAAAAACAAACAAAAACAAAACAAAAGAAAAAAAACAACGAGGAGAUGUUAAAAGUUAGCUAUAUGGCUUUUUAAAAUACCCAUCAGUGAUGAUAUCUCCUGUAGGGCAGCCUCCUGCCCGGCCUAUUGUAGUUCCAGUCUCGGGGAACAGUCCUCUUAACUUACUCUUUUCCCCAAAUCAACGAGUUUGCUCUGGAAGUCUCUUGGCUCGCCCCUUUUGAUAAACCACAGUUCAGUUCAGCCCGGAGCAGCCAGUGGUGUCUGGGACAGUCACCAGUUGCCUUGGAACAGAAAUGGGAACCACUUGUUUAAACAUCUUAAUGUCCUAAAAUCUCUAAGAGCCAUCGCAGAAGGGUUUGGGUUUUUUGUUCCCUUCCCGAAGCGAGAAGGGAGCGAGGGGAUUACAGGGAAGAAUGUCUGCUCCGGCUGCUGUAAGCACCAGAAGAUUUUGGUUUGCCUUCCCCCCCCCAUCAGUUUUUCCAUUCCUUGAGGAAAAUUUUUCAGUAUCUGAAUCAAAGCGCAUGAUUCCAACUUUUUUUUUUUCCCUGUUGUUUUGUUUUAUCUCGGCCCUUUUUCAUGUUUUCAUUUAAAAAGUGACAGAUUUGGUAGAACUCUCAAGUGUUUCCCAUUAGAGGCGGGGAGUUCACCAGUGCGCCUUUCUGAUGUUGCACAUGACACGUUUGGGGCUCUGAGGCAGGAGCACGCCCUGAGCA
This is a long non-coding RNA of Zonotrichia leucophrys gambelii, 2024 nucleotides long. RefSeq lists it as uncharacterized. The transcript has 5 exons. Lineage: Eukaryota; Metazoa; Chordata; Aves; Passeriformes; Passerellidae. The record is from RefSeq and is a predicted model, not a curated record.